AUGUGAAUUACCUGGGGAUCUUGCUAAACUUCAGAUUCUGGUUCUGUAGGUCUGGAUCCUAAGGUUCUGCAUAUUUAAGAAGCUCCUGGGUAAUACUCCU
Molecule: microRNA precursor, 100 nt
Filed under: Marmota monax (woodchuck)
Lineage: Eukaryota; Metazoa; Chordata; Mammalia; Rodentia; Sciuridae
Source: RNAcentral